Molecule: ribosomal RNA, 427 nt
Filed under: uncultured bacterium
Lineage: Bacteria
Description: partial 16S ribosomal RNA
Rfam family: Bacterial small subunit ribosomal RNA
Source: RNAcentral
UGGGGAAUAUUGCACAAUGGGCGCAAGCCUGAUGCAGCCAUGCCGCGUGUGUGAAGAAGGCCUUCGGGUUGUAAAGCACUUUCAGCGAGGAGGAAGGGUGGUGUGUUAAUAGCGCAUCACAUUGACGUUACUCGCAGAAGAAGCACCGGCUAACUCCGUGCCAGCAGCCGCGGUAAUACGGAGGGAGCAAGCGUUAAUCGGAAUUACUGGGCGUAAAGCGCACGCAGGCGGUUUGUUAAGUCAGAUGUGAAAUCCCCGCGCUUAACGUGGGAACUGCAUUUGAAACUGGCAAGCUAGAGUCUUGUAGAGGGGGGUAGAAUUCCAGGUGUAGCGGUGAAAUGCGUAGAGAUCUGGAGGAAUACCGGUGGCGAAGGCGGCCCCCUGGACAAAGACUGACGCUCAGGUGCGAAAGCGUGGGGAGCAAACA